Molecule: long non-coding RNA, 287 nt
Organism: Armigeres subalbatus
Lineage: Eukaryota; Metazoa; Arthropoda; Insecta; Diptera; Culicidae
Exons: 3
Source: RefSeq, a predicted model, not a curated record
ACAAAACGUAACAAAGCAACAAGUUAAAAAUUCUUAUAUCUAAAAUUUGUGAAUUUAUUAUUUCUAAUUGAUUAAAACCUAUUGAACUAUAUAAGAUAGACCCUAAAAUAUCGAUUGUUACAUUACGACGGAGAAUACACGUGAAAGACUAAUGUUUUGAUAGCAUACUCCAUUAAAAGACCGAGUUUGCUGUGAAGAAGUCCGAAUCGUCUCCGCUCCCGUAACAAAACUAUCAGAACAUUAUUGUUCUAACCUCACUUCCGUGAGCGGUUCGGGGUACAUAUCUG